Molecule: ribosomal RNA, 255 nt
Filed under: uncultured bacterium
Lineage: Bacteria
Description: partial 16S ribosomal RNA
Rfam family: Bacterial small subunit ribosomal RNA
Source: RNAcentral
CACGUAGGGUGCGAGCGUUGUCCGGAAUUAUUGGGCGUAAAGAGCUCGUAGGCGGUGUGUCGCGUCGGCCGUGAAAACCUGCAGCUUAACUGUGGGCUUGCGGUCGAUACGGGCAUCACUGGAGUUCGGCAGGGGAGACUGGAAUUCCUGGUGUAGCGGUGAAAUGCGCAGAUAUCAGGAGGAACACCGGUGGCGAAGGCGGCAUCCUGGACCAAUUCUGACGCUGAGUGAGCGAAAGCCAGGGGAGCAAACGGG